GAUUUCUGGUAUGGUGCACUUGGCCCGUCUUGGUUACAAGUAUGUGUGCCGGUGUGCGCCUGCCAUCCAUCUAGAAAUGUCUGGUCGCCCUUCACUGGGUGGACUUGUACGGAUCUAGAUCUUUUACUUUGAAAAAAUUAGAGUGUUUAAAGCAGGCUUGUGCGUGAUGAAUACAUUAGCAUGGAAUAAUAAUUUAGGACUUUGGUCUUAUUUUGUUGGUUUCUAGGACUAAAGUAAUGAUUGAUAGGGACAGUUGGGGGUGCUAGUAUUCAGCGGCCAGAGGUGAAAUUCUUGGAUUCGCUGAAGACUAACUUAUGCGAAAGCAUU
RNAcentral lists this ribosomal RNA (327 nucleotides) under Cercomonas sp. RNAcentral describes it as "SSU rRNA". The stretch from base 85 to 327 matches the Rfam family "Eukaryotic small subunit ribosomal RNA", at positions 713 to 955 of the family's 1831-position model. The record is from RNAcentral. Lineage: Eukaryota; Cercozoa; Cercomonadida; Cercomonadidae.